CAAUGAGCUGACAGUUAAUAUAAAUAAAUCUAAGAUCAUGCAUUUUAGAAAUCCAGCUGUUUUACAAACUAAAUGUACUUUUUCUAUUGGUGGUAAUGCUUUGGAAUGUGUAAAAAGUUACCAAUAUUUAGGCUUAUUACUGACUGAAUUUUUAGAUUAUCAGUUAAUGGCUAAGGCAGUAGCGAAGUCAGCCAGUAGAGCAUUAGGAUUAUUAAUUGUAAAGAGUAAAACGCAUGGUGGUUUCCAGCACAAAAUUUUUUCAAAGCUGUAUGAUACAAUGGUAUGGUCAGUUAUUAGUUAUGGUGCAGGUAUUUGGGGAACCAGAGACUUUUCCUGCAUAAAUGCAGUCCAAAACAGGGCCAUGAGAUUUU
This 371-nucleotide long non-coding RNA is filed under the name Mytilus galloprovincialis (Mediterranean mussel). Lineage: Eukaryota; Metazoa; Mollusca; Bivalvia; Mytilida; Mytilidae. The record is from RNAcentral.